RNAcentral lists this ribosomal RNA (481 nucleotides) under uncultured bacterium. RNAcentral describes it as "partial 16S ribosomal RNA". It matches the Rfam family "Bacterial small subunit ribosomal RNA", at positions 28 to 507 of the family's 1533-position model. The record is from RNAcentral.
GAUGAACGCUGGCGGCGUGCUUAACACAUGCAAGUCGAACGAAGCACUUUAUUUGAUUUCCUUCGGGACUGAUUAUUUUGUGACUGAGUGGCGGACGGGUGAGUAACGCGUGGGUAACCUGCCUUGUACAGGGGGAUAACAGUUGGAAACGGCUGCUAAUACCGCAUAAGCGCACAGCAUCGCAUGAUGCAGUGUGAAAAACUCCGGUGGUAUAAGAUGGACCCGCGUUGGAUUAGCUAGUUGGUGAGGUAACGGCCCACCAAGGCGACGAUCCAUAGCCGACCUGAGAGGGUGACCGGCCACAUUGGGACUGAGACGCGGCCCAAACUCCUACGGGAGGCAGCAGUGGGGAAUAUUGCACAAUGGGCGAAAGCCUGAUGCAGCGACGCCGCGUGAGCGAAGAAGUAUUUCGGUAUGUAAAGUUCUAUCAGCAGGGAAGAUAAUGACGGUACCUGACUAAGAAGCACCGGCUAAAUACGUG